Molecule: ribosomal RNA, 305 nt
Filed under: uncultured bacterium
Lineage: Bacteria
Description: bacterial SSU rRNA
Rfam family: Bacterial small subunit ribosomal RNA
Source: RNAcentral
UCCUACGGGGGGCAGCAGUGAGGAAUAUUGGUCAAUGGGCGGGAGCCUGAACCAGCCAAGCCGCGUGAGGGAAGAAGGUACAGCGUAUCGUAAACCUCUUUUGUCAGGGAACAAAGGCGGGGACUAGUCCCCGGAUGAGGGUACCUGAAGAAAAAGCAUCGGCUAACUCCGUGCCAGCAGCCGCGGUAAUACGGAGGAUGCGAGCGUUAUCCGGAUUUAUUGGGUUUAAAGGGUGCGUAGGCGGUCCGUUAAGUCAGCGGUAAAAUUGCGGGGCUCAACCCCGUCGAGCCGUUGAAACUGGCAGA